UACGGAGGGUGCAAGCGUUAUCCGGAUUCACUGGGUUUAAAGGGUGCGUAGGUGGGUUGGUAAGUCAGUGGUGAAAUACUUUCGCUUAACGAAGGAACUGCCAUUGAUACUAUCAAUCUUGAAUGUAGUGGAGGUAGGCGGAAUGCGUCAUGUAGCGGUGAAAUGCUUAGAUAUGACGCAGAACACCAAUUGCGAAGGCAGCUUGCUACACUACUAUUGACACUGAGGCACGAAAGCGUGGGGAUCAAACAGG
Molecule: ribosomal RNA, 253 nt
Filed under: uncultured bacterium
Lineage: Bacteria
Description: partial 16S ribosomal RNA
Rfam family: Bacterial small subunit ribosomal RNA
Source: RNAcentral